UACGUAGGGGGCGAGCGUUGUCCGGAAUUAUUGGGCGUAAAGGGUACGCAGGCGGUCUAAGAAGUCAGAUGUUAAAGCGUAGGGCUUAACCCUAUAAAGCAUAUGAAACUGAUAGACUUGAGUAAAGGAGAGGAAAGUGGAAUUCCUAGUGUAGCGGUGAAAUGCGUAGAUAUUAGGAGGAAUACCGGUGGCGAAGGCGACUUUCUGGACUUUUACUGACGCUCAGGUACGAAAGCGUGGGGAGCAAACAGG
RNAcentral lists this ribosomal RNA (252 nucleotides) under uncultured bacterium. RNAcentral describes it as "partial 16S ribosomal RNA". It matches the Rfam family "Bacterial small subunit ribosomal RNA", at positions 524 to 776 of the family's 1533-position model. The record is from RNAcentral.